Molecule: ribosomal RNA, 911 nt
Filed under: uncultured Clostridium sp.
Lineage: Bacteria; Bacillati; Bacillota; Clostridia; Eubacteriales; Clostridiaceae
Description: bacterial SSU rRNA
Rfam family: Bacterial small subunit ribosomal RNA
Source: RNAcentral
CGUAGGCGGAUAUUUAAGUGAGAUGUGAAAUUCCCGAGCUUAACUUGGGAGCUGCAUUUCAAACUGGGUAUCUAGAGUGUGGGAGAGGAGAAUGGAAUUCCCUAGUGUAGCGGUGAAAUGCGUAGAGAUUAGGAAGAACACCAGUGGCGAAGGCGAUUCUCUGGACCAUAACUGACGCUGAGGCAUGAAAGCGUGGGUAGCAAACAGGAUUAGAUACCCUGGUAGUCCACGCCGUAAACGAUGAGUACUAGGUGUAGGGGGGUCCAACCCUCUGUGCCGCAGUUAACACAAUAAGUACUCCGCCUGGGAAGUACGAUCGCAAGAUUAAAACUCAAAGGAAUUGACGGGGGCCCGCACAAGCAGCGGAGCAUGUGGUUUAAUUCGAAGCAACGCGAAGAACCUUACCUGGACUUGACAUCCCCUGAAUAGUGCAGAGAUGCAUGAAGCCCUUCGGGGCAGGGAGACAGGUGGUGCAUGGUUGUCGUCAGCUCGUGUCGUGAGAUGUUAGGUUAAGUCCUGCAACGAGCGCAACCCUUAUCAUUAGUUGCUACCAUUAAGUUGAGCACUCUAGUGAGACUGCCCGGGUUGACCGGGAGGAAGGUGGGGAUGACGUCAAAUCAUCAUGCCCCUUAUGUCCAGGGCUACACACGUGCUACAAUGGUGAGUACAGAGAGAUGCAAGACCGCGAGGUGGAGCUAAACUCAAAAACUCAUCCCAGUUCGGAUUGUAGGCUGCAACUCGCCUACAUGAAGCCGGAGUUGCUAGUAAUCGCGAAUCAGAAUGUCGCGGUGAAUACGUUCCCGGGCCUUGUACACACCGCCCGUCACACCAUGAGAGCUGGCAAUACCCGAAGUCCGUGAGGUAACCUGUAAAGGAGCCAGCGGCCGAAGGUAGGGUUAGUGAUUGGGGUG